GAUGAAGGAACGCAGCGAAAUGCGAUACGUAAUGUGAAUUGCAGAAUUCAGUGAAUCAUCGAGUCUUUGAACGCACAUUGCGCCCUCUGGUAUUCCGGAGGGCAUGCCUGUCCGAGCGUCAUUGCUGCCCUCAAGCACGGCUUGUGUGUUGGGCUCCGUCCUCCUUCCGGGGGACGGGCCCGAAAGGCAGCGGCGGCACCGCGUCCGGUCCUCAAACGUAUGGGGCUUUGUCACCCGCUUUGUAGGACUGGCCGGCGCCUGCCGAUCAACCAAACUUUUUUCCAGGUUGACCUCGGAUCAGGUAGGGAUACCCGCUGAACUUAAGCAUAUCAAUAAGCGGAGGA
This 344-nucleotide unclassified non-coding RNA is filed under the name soil metagenome. RNAcentral's name for it is "partial contains 5.8S ribosomal RNA, internal transcribed spacer 2, and large subunit ribosomal RNA". The stretch from base 1 to 121 matches the Rfam family "5.8S ribosomal RNA", at positions 35 to 154 of the family's 154-position model. The record is from RNAcentral.